RNA transcript from Helicoverpa armigera (cotton bollworm), 6103 nucleotides. It is a transcript of the gene named insulin-degrading enzyme, with no coding region annotated. Lineage: Eukaryota; Metazoa; Arthropoda; Insecta; Lepidoptera; Noctuidae. The record is from RefSeq and is a predicted model, not a curated record. The transcript is spliced from 29 exons.
AUCCAAUUUGUUCAAGUUACAUUCUGACAUUACAGAAUUCUGAGAUUGGUCGAUAAUUUCGAUGAAUUACAAAGUAUUGAAUAAUAUUAAUUUAAUUCAAUAUAACCAUUAAUUAAAGUUAACACAUUCAAGCUGGCAUCACGCAGAGUUCUUUGGUUGGGGAUCCGAUACUAUUCUCCGUUGUUACACCGAGCUACACCGAAUAGCUACGGUGGAGGCAGACGCAGUAUAUCCAGUAUGUCGUCCCAGUUCUCUCCCCGAGCCGGGAACUCGCCCCGCGCGUCCCCGGGGCCCAUGGAGCCCGCGGGCCCCGGCGGCCUGCCCGCCGCGUCCGGCGUCAGCAAGCGAUACGACAACAUUGUCAAGUCGCCCGAGGAUAAACGACAUUACAGAGGUCUGGUGCUAUCAAACCGGCUUCGAGUUCUGUUGGUCAGUGAUAUAACUACUGACAAAUCGGCGGCAGCUCUAGACGUCAACGUUGGUUACCUCAGUGAUCCCGAAGAAUUACCGGGAUUAGCGCAUUUCUGUGAACACAUGCUGUUUUUGGGGACCCAGAAAUAUCCUGAGGAGAAUGAGUACAACAAGUUUCUGUCUGAACACGGGGGCUCUUCAAAUGCGUCGACGUCUUCGGAUCACACUACAUACUACUUCGAUGUUUUGCCAGAACAUUUGCAUAAGGCUUUAGAUAUCUUCGCCCAAUUCUUCAUAUCGCCCCUGUUCACGGAAUCAGCGACCGGCAGAGAACUGAGUGCAGUCAAUUCGGAACAUGAGAAGAACACCUCCUCAGACACGUGGAGGCUGGACCAGCUCAACAAGAGCACAGCCUCCCCCUCACACCCCUUCCACAAGUUUGGUACAGGUAACAGAGAGACUCUAGAAACGAUACCGAAGUCAAAAGGGAUUGAUGUCAGGAAAGAACUGCUGAAAUUCCACUCCAAGUGGUAUUCCGCCAAUAUUAUGACUCUCGUCGUUGUGGGAAAAGAACCCCUAGACGACCUUGAAGAGAUGGUGGUGAAACUCUUCACGGAAGUCGAAGACAAGUCAGUCACCGCCCCCUCGUGGCCGGAACACCCGUUUCCACCAGCGCUGCGGCGCAAGAGAGCCUACUGUCUUCCGGUGAAGGAUCUGCGGUCACUGUCCAUCGACUUUCCUAUACCGGAUACUAGGAAGCACUAUAAGAGUGGGCCUGGACAUUAUCUCUCUCACAUGCUGGGACACGAAGGCCCAGGGAGUUUGCUAUCAGCAUUGAAAGCUAGAGGAUGGUGUAAUAGUUUAGUGGGUGGUACGCGUAUCGGCGCUCGUGGGUUCGGUUUCUUUGGCGUGCAAGUGGAUCUGACGGAAGAGGGAGUCGCCCAUAUCGAUGAUAUCAUUAAACUGGUGUUUCAGUACAUGGAGAUGCUGAAAGUAGCUGGUCCUCAGCGCUGGGUGUGGGAAGAGCAGCGAGACCUGAUGGCGCUGGAGUUCAGGUAUAAGGACAAGUUGGAGCCCAGGAAUCUGGUUACAGGACACGUGCAUUUGUUGCAGGAAUUCCCAAUGGAAGAUGUCCUAUGCGCAUACUAUUUGAUGACGGAAUGGAAACCCGAGUUAAUACAGGAACUGCUAUCUUUGCUUACACCUGAAAAUGUACGCGUUGGCAUUGUCGCUAAGUGUUUCGCGGAAAAGUGUACGAUGACCGAGCCUUGGUACGGAACUAAAUAUCUACAGGAAGACAUCGAGGAUUCAAAAAUACAGGAAUGGAAAUCAGUAAAACCGACCCCCGAGUUGCAUCUACCUCCUCCGAACGAGUUUAUACCGACGAAGCUUACGUUAGAGAGUGGCGAGGACAGUACCGCUCAUUCUGUGGCACCUACGGUUAUACUUGAUUCCCCAUUAAUGAGGUUAUGGUUCAAAAAGGACAGCGAGUUCCAUCUACCCAAAGCUGUUAUGACGUUCGAUUUAGUCAGCCCCUUAGCCUACAUGGACCCUCUAAGCUGCAACCUGACCUCCGUCUGGGUGCUGCUCCUCCGAGACAGCUUACAACAGUUCGCGUACGCCGCCGAACUGGCUGGCCUUCGGUGGAGCAUCGGUAACGCCAAGUAUGGCAUUAGCGUAACUAUAGACGGUUACGAUGACAAACAGAGCGUUCUACUCGACAAGAUUAUGGAUCAAAUGAUCGGUUUCACGGCCGAUCCGAAGAGAUUUCACAUCAUGAAGGAGAAUCAUAUACGAGCCAUCAAGAACUUUGAGGCUGAACAGCCUUAUCAGCAUGCAGUAUACCAACAGGCUCUGUGCUUAGCUGAUGUCGUGUGGACCAGAUGUCAACUCUUGGAAGCGGCUGAUCGCAUGACCCCAGAAAUGGUGAACGAUUUCGCGGCCCGCAUGAUACGCAAAGUGCAUAUAGAAGGGUUCAUGUACGGAAAUCUAUCACGCGAGAGAGCACUGCAUAUCGCUGAAUCUGUUGAGAAAAAAUUACCAAAAGAUGCGACGCCUCUGUGUGCCCAACAGCUGUUGUUACACAGAGAUAUUGAAAUAGAAAAAGGAUCCUGGCACGUAAGAGAAACUACGAACAGUGUACACCGUUCGUCCUGUGCCUCUCUAUACUACGCGUGCGGCGUCCGAGAGUGUCGCAGCAACGUGAUACUAGAACUGCUAGCGCAUACCCUCGCCGAACCCUGCUUCAGCAUGCUGCGGACCAAGGAACAACUCGGCUACAUAGUCUUCAGUGGUCUCCGAAGAUCCAAUGGAGUGCAAGGGUUUAGAGUGAUAGUCCAAAGCCACAGACAUCCUGAAUAUUUGGAGGAAAGGAUAGAAAGCUUCCUACAAGGGUCAUUGGAUUAUCUAAAAAACAUGUCGGAUGUGGAAUUCAUGAAGCACAGAGCUGCUUUGUCGGCGCAGAAACUCGAGAAACCCAAACGUAUGUCUUCGAGAGCUGCGCAGAUGUGGAACGAAAUUACAGCGCAGGUGUACAACUUUGACAGGCCGAGGGUAGAAGUCGAAGAGCUGAAUACCAUCACUAAGGAGGAACUUAUUGAGUUUUAUAAGAAACACAUAGCCAUGGACUCUCCGGAGCGACAGAAACUGUCGGUGUAUAUCAUAUCGACGGCCGAAGGAGGGGCGGGACAUAGUCCUGAGCCGAAAGAGGAAAAGGAGGAAAAGGAGAAGGAGGAGGGAGGGGAUGAAGACGAGUGUGACCGAUGCUAUCCUAAGCCAACAAAAAUAGUCGAUCUAGUGGACUUCAAAUGCAGAAGACCGUUGUACCCGCACCCAUCGCCUUACAUAAACAUACCUAGAAAAGGAUCGCAGUGUCUCGUUCGUGGUGGACAUUUGGACCGGAAUCGCCCAUUGUUGGGAAUCAAACCCAACAUAUCUUCGGCAAAGGGCGCUAGCGGCCGCCUACUCGCUUCUGAGUCAUCGUGGCGAGCGGCGCAGCGGCGAGCGGUGCAUCGAGGGGGGCGCCGGGCGAGAGGGGCAUAGACCAGUCUUGCGCUCACGGACACCACCGACGACGGUCGACAUUCGCUCAUAAUAUAUCAAUUGUUUGUCCGCGAGAUCUUUGAUUAUUGUAAUUAGAACGGCAAUAAACCGCGCCUAUCAACUAUAUACAGUCCACUUAUUUUAACAUCCCGUAGUGGUGCGAACAUGGUCCUUUGUGGAAUUCGCCGGCCUGGUUACGAAGUUUGAAGAAAUCGGGAUCAUCCUUUUACGUCGGUCUCGAAGCUCUUUUUCACCUGCGGUCUUCAGCAGCGACAGUUCCUGCAGGAGUCAUCAAGAUCCUGGCGAAGAUUUUUCGCAUUGCAGCCGCAUGCAUACGUUUCGAGAAACGACAAUCUGGCUGACCGUUGGACGGACUUUGGACCCGUCGAGCGUGGCACGUCAUCGCACGUUGAGGGCAAGGAAGAACGAAAAGUGCAGAUCAUCGUUUAUCCUGUGUAUGGUUUAGACAUUCUGUGAGUUCGUUCCAAUUGUUUCCUAUUUUUUUUCACUACUUUAUGUUUAUAAACGCAAUAUUUUAGUGAGUGCUUUCUAUUUUAUUCAAGUUACUUUAUACAGUAGAUUUCUCAAUUUCAAAGCCAUAUAUUUCCAUAGUUAUUCACCGCUUCUACUUAUAAAGCUUAAUCAUCUUCGCAAACACAUCGUAAAUAACGCAAUUCCUUAUGUCUUAUCUAUAACAUUUUAUUAGGGUCAUUAGUCGUGCAACAGCUGGUCUAUUGUUAUCGGUGUCGAGUCAUUAGUGCAACGCAUAUUUUUUCCGUUUACCUUGCUUAAAAUAAAUAAUUUGCCAUUAGUUCUUAUCGAAUACUUUUUUAACUUUACUUUGCUAACGUUUAUUUUUCUAUCGCUAUGUCUGAUGAAAAGAUUACUAAAUUAGUUAGACGGCGUAGCUGUAUGAAAUCUAAGCUAACCGUAUUUAGUAAUUACCUACAUACUUUAGAAAGUUGCAAAGAACUUAGUAGUUUACAGCUGUUAGACUUAGAAACAAGGUUUAAUAAGUUUAGUAGCUUAUACGAUGAUUUCGACAAAUUACAGUGUGACAUCGAGAUGUUGUCGGAGGACCCCGACGAUGAGAGUGAGGAGCGUGAGCAGUUCGAGGAUCAGUACUACAAGCUGGUGGCGGCGGCGCGGAGACUACUCGGUGCUCGCCCUCACCAGUCUUCUCACCUUCAGGAUGGAUCCGUGGCGAGUUGCGAGGAUGGACAAUCAGGUGGAUUCAAGUCUAAUUGCGUUAGAUUGCCAAAAAUUAGGUUGCCCAUCUUUCACGGUCACUAUCAACACUGGCUUGAGUUUAGAGACACGUAUUUGUCAUUAAUACAUUUAAGGUCGGACAUAGAUAAUAUAAAUAAGCUGCAUUAUCUGCGAGCCUCACUUAAAGGUAGUGCACUAUUGGUCAUUGAUAAUUUGGAUUUUAAGGCAGAAAAUUACGAAGCCGCUUGGAAUUUAUUGUGUAGUAGAUACGACAACAAGAGGUUACUUGUAAAUAAUCAUGUUCAUGCUUUAUUUAAUGUGGAACACAUAAAACAUGAAUCGUGUUCAGCAAUACGUCAUCUGAUUGACGUAACUAAUAAAAAUUUACGUGCGUUGUCGACGUUGGAUCAACCAACUCAAUAUUGGGACACGCUUAUCAUUCAUAUGAUGGCGGAGAAGUUAGAUAGUGUUACACAUAGGGAAUGGGAAGAACAUCGAAACACCUUAAAUAAUCCUCCAUCUUUAGAUAUUUUUAUAACUUUUCUUAGUAACAGAGCAGAUUUAUUGGAAACAUUGCAAGAAAAUAAAGGUAAAAUUAAAACAACAACACACAAUAGAAAUUCUUUAGAUACAAUAAAAACUAACUACAAUCAACCUACAUCUACUAAUUCUAAAUACAAUCAAAAUACAUAUUUACAAUAUAAUACAAAUAAAAAACAUAACAGUUCAAAUAAAAAUCAGUUAACUUGUCCAUUGUGUAAUCAGAACCAUUUCUUAUUUAAUUGUGAAGUAUUUAGAGCAUUAUCAAUUGAAGAUCGUAGACAAAAGGCUAAAGAAGCCAAAGUCUGUCUCAAUUGUCUACGACCAGGACAUAUUGAGUCAAGAUGCAAUCUGGUUCCUUGCAGAUAUUGCAAGAAAAAGCAUAGCACGCUGCUUCAUAUGCAUGAGGCAGAAACAACUCUUGAGCCGUCUAUUCCAGUUAACAAGUUAGAUAGUUUCUCUAGCUCAACAGAUGUUCUGGAAAGUAGUACUCCUCAGAAUGUUUUACUAUCCACAGCGCUCGUGAGGGUGGUGGACAGCAAGGGCGAGGUGCACACAGCUCGGGUACUGCUCGAUAAUGGCAGCACAGCCAACUUCGUGUCAGAGUUCCUUUGCGAACUUUGAAGUUCCUUCAACCCGGGGAGCAUGUUGGGAAUCAAACCCAACAUAUCUUCGGCAAAGGGCGCUAGCGGCCGCCUACUCGCUUCUGAGUCAUCGUGGCGAGCGGCGCAGCGGCGAGCGGUGCAUCGAGGGGGGCGCCGGGCGAGAGGGGCAUAGACCAGUCUUGCGCUCACGGACACCACCGACGACGGUCGACAUUCGCUCAUAAUAUAUCAAUUGUUUGUCCGCGAGAUCUUUGAUUAUUGUAAUUAGAACGGCAAUAAACCGCGCCUAUCAACUA